RNAcentral lists this ribosomal RNA (501 nucleotides) under Alternaria sp. OY14007. RNAcentral's name for it is "eukaryotic LSU rRNA". The stretch from base 140 to 293 matches the Rfam family "5.8S ribosomal RNA". The record is from RNAcentral. Lineage: Eukaryota; Fungi; Ascomycota; Dothideomycetes; Pleosporales; Pleosporaceae.
UCUCGGGGUUACAGCCUUGCUGAAUUAUUCACCCUUGUCUUUUGCGUACUUCUUGUUUCCUUGGUGGGUUCGCCCACCACUAGGACAAACAUAAACCUUUUGUAAUUGCAAUCAGCGUCAGUAACAAAUUAAUAAUUACAACUUUCAACAACGGAUCUCUUGGUUCUGGCAUCGAUGAAGAACGCAGCGAAAUGCGAUAAGUAGUGUGAAUUGCAGAAUUCAGUGAAUCAUCGAAUCUUUGAACGCACAUUGCGCCCUUUGGUAUUCCAAAGGGCAUGCCUGUUCGAGCGUCAUUUGUACCCUCAAGCUUUGCUUGGUGUUGGGCGUCUUGUCUCUAGCUUUGCUGGAGACUCGCCUUAAAGUAAUUGGCAGCCGGCCUACUGGUUUCGGAGCGCAGCACAAGUCGCACUCUCUAUCAGCAAAGGUCUAGCAUCCAUUAAGCCUUUUUUUCAACUUUUGACCUCGGAUCAGGUAGGGAUACCCGCUGAACUUAAGCAUAUC